CCUACGGGAGGCAGCAGUGGGGAAUAUUGCACAAUGGGGGGAACCCUGAUGCAGCGACGCCGUGUGGGUGAGGAAGGACUUCGGUAUGUAAAGCCCUAUCAGCAGGGAAGAAAAUGACGGUACCUGACUAAGAAGCCCCUGCUAACUACGUGCCAGCAGCCGCGGUAAUACGUAGGGGGCAGGCGUUAUCCGUGUUUACGGGGUGUAAAGGGAGCGUAGGCGGCGUGCCAAGUCGGAGGUGAAAGGCCGGGGCUCAACCCCGGGACUGCAUUGGAAACUGGCAUGCUGGAGUGCAGGAGGGGCAAGCGGAAUUCCUAGUGUAGCGGUGAAAUGCGUAGAUAUUAGGAGGAACACCGGUGGCGAAGGCGGCUUGCUGGACGGUAACUGACGUUGAGGCUCGAAAGCGUGGGGAGCAAACAGGAUUAGAUACCCCUGUAGUC
RNAcentral lists this ribosomal RNA (440 nucleotides) under uncultured bacterium. Its description in RNAcentral is "partial 16S ribosomal RNA". It matches the Rfam family "Bacterial small subunit ribosomal RNA", at positions 338 to 795 of the family's 1533-position model. The record is from RNAcentral.